Nicotiana attenuata is the source of this 690-nucleotide long non-coding RNA. RefSeq lists it as uncharacterized. NCBI's taxonomy places the organism in Eukaryota, Viridiplantae, Streptophyta, Magnoliopsida, Solanales, Solanaceae. The transcript is spliced from 2 exons. The record is from RefSeq and is a predicted model, not a curated record.
UUACACAUCGCAAAAUGUAAAAAGGAAGAAAAUUAUAUAUUUACACGAGUACUAAUUAGACAAGAGACAACUAACCGAACCGGUCUGCCCGUUUUUCACUCCUCUCUCCAAUUAGUGGCUAACUCUCCAGAUUUUCGAUUUUUCAUCUAAUCAGGAAGAGAAAUGUCGAUGGAUGGGAAUGUUGGACAAACACCUCCAGAUAAUGAAGCAUAUAACGUUCCUCCAGAUACUAAGUUUAUUAUCGACAAGGUUGCGCCGUUCGUGGCGAAGAAUGGGGAACGUGUUGAGAGUGGGCUUAAGAGAAACCACGCUGGUGAUGCUAGAUUUAGUUUCCUGAAUGCUUCUGAUCCUUACCAUGCCUAUUAUCAGUACUGUGUGGCUGAAGCUUACGUACCUGAUCGGAAGCCUACUCAGCCAGCAGUUUCAGCCUCUGCUCCUAUCACUUAUUAGAUGAUAAUCGCAGUUUGUCUGCCAAUCUAGACCUAUCACUUUGCUGAAUAUAAAAUUUGCUUGUGUUAGAUAUUAUUGACUGUAACAUUAGAUGCUUACUCCUUAUUUGCAAGUCUCGAUUAUGAAGUGUUAUCAUUAGGUUGUAAGAUAUCCUGGCGCUUAUUAGCUAAAAAUUGCAGUUUGUUUACCAAAUUAGACCUAUGAUUUUGCUUUUGAUGAUUAUUAUUAACUUUAACAUUA